UACAGAGGGUGCAAGCGUUGUUCGGAAUUACUGGGCAUAAAGGGCGUGUAGGCGGCUUAACAAGUCAGAUGUGAAAUCUCAGGGCUUAACUCUGAAAGUGCAUUUGAAACUGUUAGGCUAGAGUGCUGUAGAGGUUGGCGGAAUACCCAGUGGAGAGGUGAAAUUCGUAGAUAUUGGGUGGAACACCGGUGGCGAAGGCGGCCAACUGGGCAGUAACUGACGCUGAGGCGCGAGAGCGUGGGGAGCAAACAGG
RNAcentral lists this ribosomal RNA (253 nucleotides) under uncultured bacterium. RNAcentral's name for it is "partial 16S ribosomal RNA". It matches the Rfam family "Bacterial small subunit ribosomal RNA", at positions 524 to 776 of the family's 1533-position model. The record is from RNAcentral.